This 468-nucleotide ribosomal RNA is filed under the name uncultured bacterium. RNAcentral describes it as "partial 16S ribosomal RNA". It matches the Rfam family "Bacterial small subunit ribosomal RNA", at positions 28 to 507 of the family's 1533-position model. The record is from RNAcentral.
GACGAACGCUGGCGGCGUGCUUAACACAUGCAAGUCGAACGGAAAGGCCCUGCUUUUGUGGGGUGCUCGAGUGGCGAACGGGUGAGUAACACGUGAGUAACCUGCCCUUGACUUUGGGAUGACUUCAGGAAACUGGGGCUAAUACCGGAUCGGAGCUCCUGCUGCAUGGUGGGGGUUGGAAAGUUUCGGCGGUUGGGGAUGGACUCGCGGCUUAUCAGCUUGUUGGUGGGGUAGUGGCUUACCCAGGCUUUGACGGGUAGCCGGCCUGAGAGGGUGACCGGCCACAUUGGGACUGAGAGACGGCGCAGUCUCCUACGGGAGGCAGCAGUGGGGAAUAUUGCACAAUGGGCGGAAGCCUGAGGCAGCAACGCCGCGGUCGGGAUGACGGCCUUCGGGGUGUAAACCGCUUUCGCCUGUGACGAAGCGUGAGUGACGGUAAUGGGUAAAGAAGCACCGGCUAACUACGUG